AUGAUUAUUUUUACUCUCCUCAGUUUUUUGUGGAUGUGUAUUGGUCACACAGAGGCAGAUGCAAUAAAACCCUUGUCGCUGAAUGAAUAUAGACGUGCUGGUGACAGUGCUACUCUGUCCUGCAGUUACAAAGACUAUACAGCUACUGUACAGAAUUUACAAUGGUACAGACAAUAUCCCAGAUCCAAACCGGAGUUCCUCCUGUACAUCUUCCAGCAUGGAGCUAUGAGUGAAGACAGACCACCCAGAUUUACUGCUGCAGUUAAUCAAGACAACAAACAAGUGGAUCUGAAGAUCUCCUCUGCUGUAGAGACAGAUUCUGCCAUGUACUACUGUGCCCUGGUGCCCACAGUGACAGGAAAUCUAACUGCAUCAUACAAAAACCUCCCAUGUCAUCCUGCCUCAAAUAACAAAUGCAUCAGCACAAUAGCCAAUCCUUUAACUGGAACAAAUCACAUCAUGCUUAUCCACACCAAAGAUUUUGACCCUGGAAUUGAUUAUACUUUGCUUAAUGGUCAAUGA
This is a non-coding RNA of Sinocyclocheilus grahami, 522 nucleotides long. Lineage: Eukaryota; Metazoa; Chordata; Actinopteri; Cypriniformes; Cyprinidae. The record is from the annotation of a RefSeq genome assembly.